GAGCACAUACAAUUAUUGUGUUGGAUCUUGCAAAGGUCCAGUUUAGUAUGUAGAUACUUGUGCUUU
This 66-nucleotide transfer RNA is filed under the name Explanatum explanatum. RNAcentral's name for it is "tRNA-Cys". Lineage: Eukaryota; Metazoa; Platyhelminthes; Trematoda; Plagiorchiida; Paramphistomidae. The record is from RNAcentral.